GCCUCAUCCUUUCCAACACUUAUCCAUCCUCCAUCCAGUUGCCAAAAGGUUGUUUGUGAAGCACAAUUCAGUCUCUGUAAUACUCAACAGAAUCAAUGAGUUUCUUCCCUUUGUAGAAUCAAAUGCCAUUUCAUCUUAAUAGAACUUCUAAAGUUUGCCAUUUAUAUAUAUGAAUAUAUUUGUAAUUCACAUAAUUGCUUGUAUUAUAGGCCAUAUGCAUUUUACAGAUGAGUGGAUUUGUCCUGGCACCUCACUCUGACUGUUUUACUUCUUAGGAUAAUUUGGAGUUCAAAUGAUCAUCUGAGAAGCCUGAUCUGGAUUCCUUACAAGUCACAUUGUGAACCCUGCUUCAGCAGAGAAGCAGAAAUCGGAGAUAAGGAAACUGCAGCCAACAGGGUUAAGUGACUUGCCCAGAAUUACACAGAUACUAAGUGUCUGAGGCCAGAUUUGAACUCAAGAAGAAGAGUCUUCCAUAUUCCAGGCCUGGUGCUCUAUCCACUGUGCCACCCAGCUUUGGUGAGUUUCUACUCAGCAGAGAAUGUUGCCUCGGGGAGGGAAUCUUUCCAGUCCCAGAGCAUCAUGUGAUACACAUUUCAGGUCAGUUUCCAUUGACUGCAUCUUCCCUUAUUUGGAGGUAUUUAAGUAGAUGCUAGAUGACCACUCACUGGAUAUUAGACAGUAGAGAUUCCUUUCAUACAUGGUUUGGACUUGAUGGCUGAGCUGGGUAACUCUCUAAACUGAUAAAUUGCCAAGUAGUUACUAAUCUGCAUCAGCAGAAAGAAUACUUCCCUGCCUUACCAUCCCCCCCCCACCAUUAACCUAAACAUAUUAAAUUAUAGGAUUGUGCAAAAAAGAAAUAGGAAUAUCAUUUAGCUUCAUCUCUGAGUUGUUUGACAAAGUACUCACAAAGCACAAUACAUGUGUAAGCUUUUUUAAUACUCAUUUUUAUUCAGGGAUUUUGACAUGAGGGAAAAGGAGAUGUUUAGAGGUUGGCAGAACCUUUUUGUACCCCUCAUCUUAUACAACUUCCCUGGCUGACUAUUCUGUCAAAGAAUAGUUCCCAUCACAGUCAUAAAUAUGGUUCUAAGAAAGGCUAACUCUGUUCAAUCAUUCUGGGAAUAAUAAAUCAUGCCAAGGCCAGAGGAAAUGCA
This 1151-nucleotide long non-coding RNA is filed under the name Monodelphis domestica (gray short-tailed opossum). Its description in RNAcentral is "lncRNA (ENSMODG00000030620.2)". Lineage: Eukaryota; Metazoa; Chordata; Mammalia; Didelphimorphia; Didelphidae. The record is from RNAcentral.